Molecule: ribosomal RNA, 245 nt
Filed under: uncultured bacterium
Lineage: Bacteria
Description: partial 16S ribosomal RNA
Rfam family: Bacterial small subunit ribosomal RNA
Source: RNAcentral
UACAGAGGCCCCAACCAUUACCCGGAUUUACUGGGCGUAAAGCGUGUCAAGGCGGUUGUGUUAGUCGUUCGUCAAAUCUCCGGGCCUAACCUGGAGCUCGCGAGCGAAACGGCACGACUCGAGGGUGCGAGAGGUAGAGGGAACUCACGGUGGAGGGGUGAAAUCCGUUGAUAUCGUGGGGAACACCAAAGGCGAAGGCACUCUACUGGCGCACUCCUGACGCUCACACACGAAAGCCAGGGGAG